RNAcentral lists this small RNA (113 nucleotides) under Bacteroides luti. RNAcentral describes it as "Bacteroides sRNA BTnc231". It matches the Rfam family "Bacteroides sRNA BTnc231". Rfam says of the family: An uncharacterized small RNA discovered in Bacteroides thetaiotaomicron Lineage: Bacteria; Pseudomonadati; Bacteroidota; Bacteroidia; Bacteroidales; Bacteroidaceae. The record is from Rfam by way of RNAcentral.
ACGUUUUUUUCAUAGAGAUUUAGAUUUAAGGUUAGAAGAAUUGUGGAAGUCGUGAGACUUCCCUUUUUUUUAAGAUCUAAAGAAAAAGGUCGCCCCAUAAAGGCGGCCUUUUU